UGGACACAUAUUUUAAUUAAAUGUUUUAACAUUAAAACAUUUAAAAUAAUUAACUGUUCUAAUUUAAAAUUGUACUAGUGUCCCAGUAGGCAUAAUGCUAGAGAUGUCUCUCUUGAUGAAAUGUUAGGUAUUUGUAUUUUCAGAAUAAUAAUCUGAUAAAGACAAAUAACUAGGAUUAUAAAACAGUUCUUAUUAUGCAUAGCAUUUCUUUUCUUCUUGAUUCUUCUGAGCAGUAUCCAGAGUUACUCGUGGCUUCCUAUAACAACAAUGAAGAUGCCCCUCAUGAGCCUGAUGGUGUGGCCCUUGUAUGGAAUAUGAAAUACAAAAAAACUACCCCAGAGUAUGUGUUUCACUGCCAGUCAGCUGUGAUGUCUGCCACAUUUGCAAAAUUUCAUCCAAAUCUUGUUGUUGGUGGUACAUAUUCAGGCCAAAUUGUGCUUUGGGAUAACCGUAGCAAUAAAAGAACUCCAGUGCAAAGAACUCCACUGUCAGCAGCUGCACACACACACCCUGUAUAUUGUGUAAAUGUUGUUGGAACACAAAAUGCUCACAAUCUGAUUAGCAUCUCUACUGAUGGAAAAAUUUGUUCAUGGAGUCUGGACAUGCUUUCCCAUCCACAGGAUAGCAUGGAGUUGGUUCAUAAACAGUCAAAAGCAGUAGCUGUGACAUCUAUGUCCUUCCCUGUUGGAGAUGUCAACAACUUUGUUGUUGGGAGUGAAGAAGGUUCUGUGUACACAGCAUGCCGCCAUGGCAGCAAAGCUGGAAUCAGUGAGAUGUUUGAGGGGCAUCAAGGACCAAUCACUGGCAUCCAUUGUCAUGCAGCUGUUGGAGCAGUAGACUUCUCACAUCUUUUUGUCACUUCAUCGUUUGACUGGACAGUAAAGCUUUGGACAACUAAGAAUAACAAGCCUUUGUAUUCAUUUGAAGAUAAUGCAGACUAUGUUUAUGAUGUUAUGUGGUCACCUACCCACCCAGCCCUGUUUGCCUGUGUGGAUGGCAUGGGGAGAUUGGAUUUGUGGAAUCUCAAUAAUGACACAGAGGUACCAACUGCCAGCAUUUCUGUGGAGGGUAAUCCUGCUCUUAAUCGUGUGAGAUGGACCCAUUCUGGCAGAGAGAUUGCUGUGGGUGAUUCUGAAGGACAGAUUGUUAUAUAUGAUGUGGGAGAGCAGAUUGCUGUUCCCCGCAAUGAUGAAUGGGCACGGUUUGGCCGAACACUUGCAGAAAUUAAUGCAAACCGAGCUGAUGCAGAGGAGGAAGCAGCUACCCGAAUACCUGCUUAGUUCCUGAAAAGGGGAGUGUAACUAGUGGAUUUGGGAAACGUUCUUAAGUAGAUCCUGAGACUAUUUGCAUGCUUCUAUCUAAAUGAUAAUUAAAAGGAAGUUUCAUGGAUUAAACCAUGGGUUUAAUGCAGCAAGGAAACUUACAAUGUCCCUUUAUAUAUAACAUGCAUCUUGUUUUGGAUUUGUGUCAUUUUUUAAUAUAGCUGAUUGACUUCACAGAAAGCAGCUUUUUUGAAUUCUAAUACACAGGUGUAUAUUUGGUAUUAGUUAUUUUGAGUUCUUUUCAACUUAUAACAUUGUAUACAGUUAUUUCUAAAGCACAGAUGAAAUAAGUUCUGCAUAUUUUUAAAUAAUCACAGUUCCCUGUUAUACAGAUAAUGUUCUCACUACCCAUAAUAUGUAGGAACAUUGUUUCUCCUUAGCCGUAGUAUGCAUACACCUAUCCAUGUUCAUUCUGACAUCCUUUGUUGUCUUUAUAAUUCAUGUGGUAGUUACCUAUAAAUAAAAACAAAUAUGCG
This 1798-nucleotide small RNA is filed under the name Pongo abelii (Sumatran orangutan). RNAcentral's name for it is "retained intron". The record is from RNAcentral. Lineage: Eukaryota; Metazoa; Chordata; Mammalia; Primates; Hominidae.